AUUGAACGCUGGCGGCAGGCCUAACACAUGCAAGUCGAGCGAGCGGCGGACGGGUGAGUAAUUUCUGGGGAUCUGCCCGAUCGAGGGGGAUAACUUCUGGCAACGUUGGCUAAUACCGCAUACUAUCGUAUGACCCCCUCUGGGAUUAGCUAGUAGGUGGGGUAACGGCUCACCUAGGCGACGAUCUCUAGCUGGUCUGAGAGGAUGACCAGCCACACGGGGACUGAGACACGGUCCAGACUCCUACGGGAGGCAGCAGUGGGGAAUAUUGCACAAUGGGCGCAAGCCUGAUGCAGCCAUGCCGCGUGUAUGAAGAAGGCCUUAGGGUUGUAAAGUACUUUCAGCGGGGAGGCGUUACCCGCAGAAGAAGCACCGGCUAACUCCGUGCCAGCAGCCGCGGUAAUUG
Molecule: ribosomal RNA, 406 nt
Filed under: uncultured bacterium
Lineage: Bacteria
Description: partial 16S ribosomal RNA
Rfam family: Bacterial small subunit ribosomal RNA
Source: RNAcentral